AUGACGUCAAAUCAUCAUGCCCUUUAUGACCUGGGCUACACACGUGCUACAAUGGAUGGUACAGAGAGCAGCAAGACCGCGAGGUGGAGCGAAUCUCAAAAAAGCCAUUCUCAGUUCGGAUUGGAGUCUGCAACUCGACUCCAUGAAGUCGGAAUCGCUAGUAAUCGCGAAUCAGCAUGUCGCGGUGAAUGCGUUCCCGGGCCUU
Molecule: ribosomal RNA, 205 nt
Filed under: uncultured Syntrophomonas sp.
Lineage: Bacteria; Bacillati; Bacillota; Clostridia; Eubacteriales; Syntrophomonadaceae
Description: partial 16S ribosomal RNA
Rfam family: Bacterial small subunit ribosomal RNA
Source: RNAcentral